UACGAAGGGGGCUAGCGUUGCUCGGAUUGACUGGGCGUAAAGGGCGCGUAGGCGGUUCGUACAGUCAGACGUGAAAUUCCUGGGCUCAACCUGGGGGCUGCGUUUGAUACGUGCGGACUUGAGUGCGGAAGAGGGUCGUGGAAUUCCCAGUGUAGAGGUGAAAUUCGUAGAUAUUGGGAAGAACACCGGUGGCGAAGGCGGCGACCUGGUCCGAUACUGACGCUGAGGCGCGAAAGCGUGGGGAGCAAACAGG
This 253-nucleotide ribosomal RNA is filed under the name uncultured bacterium. RNAcentral describes it as "partial 16S ribosomal RNA". It matches the Rfam family "Bacterial small subunit ribosomal RNA", at positions 524 to 776 of the family's 1533-position model. The record is from RNAcentral. RNAcentral also lists the same sequence under 1 other name.